RNAcentral lists this ribosomal RNA (479 nucleotides) under uncultured Sphingobacteriales bacterium. RNAcentral describes it as "bacterial SSU rRNA". It matches the Rfam family "Bacterial small subunit ribosomal RNA", at positions 900 to 1382 of the family's 1533-position model. Lineage: Bacteria; Pseudomonadati; Bacteroidota; Sphingobacteriia; Sphingobacteriales. The record is from RNAcentral.
CUCAAAGGAAUUGACGGGGGCCCGCACAAGCGGUGGAGCAUGUGGUUAAUUCGAUGAUACGCGAGGAACCUUACCUGGGCUCAAAUGUAUGUUGACGUAUUCUGAAAGGGAUACUUCUUCGGACAAUAUACAAGGUGCUGCAUGGUUGUCGUCAGCUCGUGCCGUGAGGUGUCGGGUUAAGUCCCAUAACGAGCGCAACCCCUAUCAUUAGUUGCCAUCAGGUCAAGCUGGGGACUCUAAUGAAACUGCCUACGCAAGUAGUGAGGAAGGUGGGGAUGACGUCAAAUCAGCACGGCCCUUACGUCCAGGGCUACACACGUGCUACAAUGGCCGGUACAAAGGGCAGCUACCUGGUGACAGGAUGCUAAUCUCAAAAGCCGGUCUCAGUUCGGAUCGGAGUCUGCAACCCGACUCCGUGAAGUUGGAUUCGCUAGUAAUCGCGCAUCAGCCAUGGCGCGGUGAAUACGUUCCCGGGCCUU